Molecule: ribosomal RNA, 792 nt
Filed under: uncultured bacterium
Lineage: Bacteria
Description: bacterial SSU rRNA
Rfam family: Bacterial small subunit ribosomal RNA
Source: RNAcentral
AGAGUUUGAUCAUGGCUCAGGAUGAACGCUAGCGGCAGGCCUAAUACAUGCAAGCCGAACGGUAACUUGAAUAGCAAUAUUUGAGCUAGAGUGGCGUAAGGGUGCGUAACACGUAUGCAAUCUGCCCGCAACAGGAGGAUAGCUCCCCGAAAGGGGAAUUAAUACUCCAUAAGAUCACGAGAGGGCAUCUGAUUGUGAUUAAACUACAAGGGGUUGCGGGUGAGCAUGCGGUUGAUUAGCUAGUUGGUAGUGUAACGGACUACCAAGGCAAUGAUCAAUAGGGGAACUGAGAGGUUUAUCCCCCACACUGGCACUGAGAUACGGGCCAGACUCCUACGGGAGGCAGCAGUAGGGAAUAUUGGACAAUGGGCGAGAGCCUGAUCCAGCCAUGCCGCGUGCAGGAAGAAGGCCUUCUGGGUUGUAAACUGCUUUUGCCAGGGGAUAAAAAGUCCCUGCGGGGAAAAUUGAAGGUACCUGGUGAAUAAGCCACGGCUAACUACGUGCCAGCAGCCGCGGUAAUACGUAGGUGGCAAGCGUUGUCCGGAUUUAUUGGGUUUAAAGGGUGCGUAGGCGGUUCAAUAAGUCAGUGGUGAAAUACGGCAGCUCAACUGUCGAGGUGCCAUUGAUACUGUUGGACUUGAGUACAGACGAGGUAGGCGGAAUUGACGGUGUAGCGGUGAAAUGCUUAGAUAUCGUCAAGAACACCGAUAGCGAAGGCAGCUUACUAGGCUGUAACUGACGCUGAGGCACGAAAGUGUGGGGAUCAAACAGGAUUAGAUACCCUAGUAGUCC